CAUGCAAGUCGAACGAGAGAGAAGGAGCUUGCUUCUUCGAUUGAGUGGCGAACGGGUGAGUAACGCGUGAGGAACCUGCCUCAAAGAGGGGGACAACAGUUGGAAACGACUGCUAAUACCGCAUAAGCCCACGGGUCGGCAUCGACCUGAGGGAAAAGGAGCAAUCCGCUUUGAGAUGGCCUCGCGUCCGAUUAGCUAGUUGGUGAGGUAACGGCCCACCAAGGCGACGAUCGGUAGCCGGACUGAGAAGUUGAACGGCCACAUUGGGACUGAGACACGGCCCAGACUCCUACGGGAGGCAGCAGUGGGGAAUAUUGCACAAUGGGGGAAACCCUGAUGCAGCGACGCCGCGUGGAGGAAGAAGGUCUUCGGAUUGUAAACUCCUGUUGUUGAGGAAGAUAAUGACGGUACUCAACAAGGAAGUGACGGCUAACUACGUGCCAGCAGCCGCGGUAAAACGUAGGUCACAAGCGUUGUCCGGAAUUACUGGGUGUAAAGGGAGCGCAGGCGGGAAGACAAGUUGGAAGUGAAAUCUAUGGGCUUAACCCAUAAACUGCUUUCAAAACUGUUUUUCUUGAGUAGUGCAGAGGUAGGCGGAAUUCCCGGUGUAGCGGUGGAAUGCGUAGAUAUCGGGAGGAACACCAGUGGCGAAGGCGGCCUACUGGGCACCAACUGACGCUGAGGCUCGAAAGUGUGGGUAGCAAACAGGAUUAGAUACCCUGGUAGUCCACACCGUAAACGAUGAUUACUAGGUGUUGGAGGAUUGACCCCUUCAGUGCCGCAGUUAACACAAUAAGUAAUCCACCUGGGGAGUACGACCGCAAGGUUGAAACUCAAAGGAAUUGACGGGGGCCCGCACAAGCAGUGGAGUAUGUGGUUUAAUUCGACGCAACGCGAA
Molecule: ribosomal RNA, 898 nt
Filed under: uncultured bacterium
Lineage: Bacteria
Description: bacterial SSU rRNA
Rfam family: Bacterial small subunit ribosomal RNA
Source: RNAcentral